RNAcentral lists this ribosomal RNA (402 nucleotides) under uncultured bacterium. RNAcentral's name for it is "bacterial SSU rRNA". It matches the Rfam family "Bacterial small subunit ribosomal RNA", at positions 355 to 774 of the family's 1533-position model. The record is from RNAcentral.
UGGGGAAUAUUGGACAAUGGGGGCAACCCUGAUCCAGCCAUGCCGCGUGAGUGAUGAAGGCCUUCGGGUUGUAAAGCUCUUUUGGCGGGGACGAUGAUGACGGUACCCGCAGAAUAAGCCCCGGCUAACUUCGUGCCAGCAGCCGCGGUAAGACGAAGGGGGCUAGCGUUGUUCGGAUUUACUGGGUGUAAAGGGCGCGCAGGCGGGAUAAAAAGUCAGUGGUGAAAUCCUACAGCUUAACUGUAGAACUGCCUUUGAUACUUUUAUUCUUGAGUUCGGGAGAGAGAGACGGAAUUCCAGGUGUAGUGGUGAAAUACGUAGAUAUCUGGAAGAACACCAGUUGCGAAGGCGGUCUCUUGGUCCGACACUGACGCUGAGGCGCGAAAGCGUGGGGAGCAAACA